CUCAAUGGGGCUUUUAUUUUGAAAUUAUUGGAUUGGGUGGGGUGGGGCGGUGUAGAUAGAGGGAGGGAGGGUGAGAGGGUGAGGAAGGGAGGGGUGGUGAGGAAGAGAUAGAGGGAGAGAGAGAGGAGGAGAAAUGGACAGACAGACUGACUGACUGAGUGAUUAACAGUGAGAAGAGGUCAGGGGGGAGGGGGGGCGAGUGUCUUUAUCAUAUUGGUCUGUUGACAGAAAGCAUAGCUGCGUCAUGUGACUCCACUAAUCAGGUCAUAGGAGCAGCUGUGAGUCACAGACAGAGAUCCUGCAGCGUGUGAGCGAGUAACCACGACAACGACGCACCUGUGCUCAUUAACGAGCUGCUGCAAAAAGGCAGAGACAUGGCAGCAAGUUACACAGAAUCCACACC
Long non-coding RNA from Gasterosteus aculeatus aculeatus (three-spined stickleback), 403 nucleotides. The record is from Ensembl. Lineage: Eukaryota; Metazoa; Chordata; Actinopteri; Perciformes; Gasterosteidae.